RNAcentral lists this ribosomal RNA (885 nucleotides) under uncultured bacterium. RNAcentral's name for it is "bacterial SSU rRNA". It matches the Rfam family "Bacterial small subunit ribosomal RNA", at positions 10 to 925 of the family's 1533-position model. The record is from RNAcentral.
AGUUUGAUCCUGGCUCGAAUGAACGCUGGCGGCAGGCCUAACACAUGCAAGUCGAACGGAGUUAUAUUGUANCUUGCUAUGGUAUAACUUAGUGGCAGACGGGUGAGUAAUGUAUAGGAAUCUACCUAGUAGUACGGAAUAAUUGUUGGAAACGGCAACUAAUACCGUAUACGCCCUACGGGGGAAAAAUUUAUUGCUAUUAGAUGAGCCUAUAUUAGAUUAGCUAGUUGGUGGAGUAAUAGCCUACCAAGGCAAUGAUCUAUAGCUGAUCUGAGAGGAUGAUCAGCCACACUGGAACUGAGAUACGGUCCAGACUCCUACGGGAGGCAGCAGUGGGGAAUAUUGGACAAUGGGCGAAAGCCUGAUCCAGCCAUGCCGCAUGAGUGAAGAAGGCCUUUGGGUUGUAAAGCUCUUUUAGUGAGGAAGAUAAUGACGGUACUCACAGAAGAAGUCCUGGCUAACUCCGUGCCAGCAGCCGCGGUAAUACGGAGAGGGCUAGCGUUAUUCGGAAUUAUUGGGCGUAAAGGGCGCGUAGGCGGAUUAGUAAGUUAAAAGUGAAAUCCCAAGGCUCAACCUUGGAAUUGCUUUUAAAACUGCUAAUCUAGAGAUUGAAAGAGGAUAGAGGAAUUCCUAGUGUAGAGGUGAAAUUCGUAAAUAUUAGGAGGAACACCAGUGGCGAAGGCGUCUAUCUGGUUCAAAUCUGACGCUGAGGCGCGAAGGCGUGGGGAGCAAACAGGAUUAGAUACCCUGGUAGUCCACGCUGUAAACGAUGAAUGUUAAAUAUGGGAAGUUUUACUUUCUGUAUUACAGCUAACGCGUUAAACAUUCCGCCUGGGGACUACGGUCGCAAGAUUAAAACUCAAAGGAAUUUGACGGGGACCCGCA